RNAcentral lists this ribosomal RNA (503 nucleotides) under uncultured bacterium. Its description in RNAcentral is "partial 16S ribosomal RNA". It matches the Rfam family "Bacterial small subunit ribosomal RNA", at positions 30 to 523 of the family's 1533-position model. The record is from RNAcentral.
AUUGAACGCUGGCGGCAGGCUUAACACAUGCAAGUCGAGCGGGGUGAUGGUGCUUGCACUAUCACUUAGCGGCGGACGGGUGAGUAAUGCUUAGGAAUCUGCCUAUUAGUGGGGGACAACAUCUCGAAAGGGAUGCUAAUACCGCAUACGUCCUACGGGAGAAAGCAGGGGAUCACUUGUGACCUUGCGCUAAUAGAUGAGCCUAGGUCGGAUUAGCUAGUUGGUGGGGUAAAGGCCUACCAAGGCGACGAUCUGUAGCGGGUCUGAGAGGAUGAUCCGCCACACUGGGACUGAGACACGGCCCAGAGUCCUACGGGAGGCAGCAGUGGGGAAUAUUGGACAAUGGGGGGAACCCUGAUCCAGCCAUGCCGCGUGUGUGAAGAAGGCCUUAUGGUUAUAAAGCACUUUAAGCGAGGAGGAGGCUCUUUUGGUUAAUACCCAAGAUGAGUGGACGUUACUCGCAGAAUAAGCACCGGCUAACUCUGUGCCAGCCGCCGCCGUAA